This is a long non-coding RNA of Alligator sinensis (Chinese alligator), 2910 nucleotides long. RefSeq lists it as uncharacterized. Lineage: Eukaryota; Metazoa; Chordata; Crocodylia; Alligatoridae. The transcript is spliced from 4 exons. The record is from RefSeq and is a predicted model, not a curated record.
UGACACCAAUUCAUCUAUAUGAGGCAUCAUUCACUCUUCCAGUUGAAACAGAAAGGAGAGACCAUUCUGCUUAUCAGAGAGGGCUUCAGUGAGUUAAUUUCAGUUAUCAGUUAAUCUCAGAAAUCAGAGCUUUAAAAUUCUCUAUGGAGGCUCAGUUUGGUAAGAUCAAAGCAGAAAUAAAAGAAAUUGGAGGCAGGGUCACAAGCCCUGAGAUAAAGGUGGAGAGAAAACUACAACCAUCAGUAAAUCUACAUAAUACAAUGAAGAUGACUGAAAAGAAAGAAAAUGACUUUAUAGAGAAAACUGGGGACUUAGAAAAUCUUGAGAGAAAAAGUAACAUAAGAAUAAGAGGGCUCUGAGAAGAUGUGGGGAAGGAGAUCCAGCAGAAUAUUUAAAGCAGGUUUUCUACUCCUUCCUACAGAUGAAGACAAAAGCAGCAGUCCUGGCAGACAUAGCACACAGAGUUCUCUACAUUCCCCCAGGCUCACAAAGACUGAGAGACAUGAUACUUUGUUGGUACUGAUACUUCUGAUUCCACUCUGGGAGACUAUAAAAUACAAGUGUUUUGAAACUUGUCCAGGCUACAUUAAUAAAAAGGAAGGAACUGAGUGAAAUUACAGCAUCUCUCAGAGAACAAAUAUAAGAUACACAUGGGCUUUUCCUUUUAAGCUUAUCUCAUGCAUCAAGAACAGGAGAACAUCAUAAAGGAGAAAAAGGAAGACUAAAAUCCUUGAAAAAUUAAACUUAAUGGAAAACAUACUGAAAUCUCAGCUCAAGCCUCACCCAGACAGCAAAAGGCAAACUAUAAUAUUGAAUGGCAAACAGUUAAGGCCAGGAGAAAGAAAACAGCAAAGUACAAGGAUAAGGAGACUUGGAGAAGUCACAGAACUAGGGGUAUUUGAAGGGAUUUGACUGGGACUGAAUAAUAGUAGGAGGAAAUGAAAAUGGAGAGGGGAAUAUCACAAGGACAAAAAGAUUAAAAGAGUAAUGCUGGGAACCAAAAUAAUUAGGAAAAUGGAAGUAAAGAGAAGCUAAGGCUAAAAACAAAUGAUAGGGGGUGGGAAAGAGGUAUAAAUACAGUAUAAUAUGAGAAGAGACUGGGGGAGACUUAAAAUAUGUCUUUGCACAACUUCCACCAGAAAACAGUAUCUGACUAAUAAUAUAGUGCCAGGAUUCCCCUGGAUGAGAGUUUGUACUCUCCCAGGAAGGUGUUUAUUACACAGGUGUGGAGAGGUUAAAGGUACCAUUCCAUCUGAGGCUUAGAGUGAAUCUCCACAUUUUAGAAAAAGGGUAGGGUAUAAAAAUAAGGAUCAGUUGGGGAUCUAAGUGGGAGGGGUAAAAUGUAUAAAUAUAAGGAUUGUGUUGGGAGUCAAAUGUGAGGGAAAUUGGACUGGGUAAAUUAAUGAGCAUGGUAGGGCAGUAAAUAAAGUUAAUGUUAAGCCUAGAAUGUAUAGAAGACUACACAGGGACCAAAAGAGUACUGCAGGUAUAUAAAAGUAGAGCAAGCAUAAUCUAGAUGUGCUUUAUUUUUUUAUAUUGUAAGAAGGUGAAGGCAGUUCCUACUAAUAUUUAUUUAUUUAUUGCUGGUGAUAACUAAACAGCUUACAAGAAUGCUGGCAAAGCUUCAGAUGUAGUAACUUCAGCAUCAGCUAAUUACUGUGUAUUACUGCUGGACAUGGAGCUUGUACAGACCUACAUGCAAAAUUUAAAUGACUAAAUUCUAAUAUCAGUGCCUUUUAUGGAAGAAUGUAAACUCGUGACUGGGACCACCUGAAAUAUGUCAAUACAAUUAAUCUCAUUUCUGGCUUUGGUAUCAAGUAUACCUCAUGCCCAACUACUCUAAAUUGAUUGUAAAUAAGUUCCUCUUUCAAGGUGAUUGCCUCUCCCUUGUUAUCCCAUUCCUCUCCAAUCUAAGUGUCUGUGCCAGAUGGAAAAUAUUUUGGGAUCUGCCCUGUUAUAACACUAAUCUAUACAGUGCCUUACAAUUCAUGGUCUAAGGUGCUCAAUUCAAGUAAUCAAGCCCUACUGCAAUUAAUCAAGUAGUAUACCUUCAGUUUAGGGUGUUGGGCUCAAGCAAUCAAGCCAUACUAUAGUUAAGCAAAUUAUAAAGCUGGAGAGUGAUCAAGGGUUUCACCCACAACAACCAGAGAUGGAUCCAAAAGGUUAACAUUUAGAACACAACUAAAAGACAAUGACCCUCUACCCUGUCAGCUUUGUCUGGACCCUGAUCUUCAACCCAUCAAGAAAAUAUGCUUUGAAGAAUGAGUAUAAGAGAAGAAUGAAGCUGUCAGAAAGUGCACUCAUCCCAAAAGAGAAACAUCACGCUGUCUCAUCAUAAUCUGCUCCCAGCUAACCACACUUGGCAACGGAUCCACACCUGGUGAAAAGUUGCAAAGAUCAGGACCGCUUCCUUACCCGUGUUGUGUAGAUCUUUACUUUGUGUGGGAGGAAGCAAAAGGAUAUAAAGGACGCCUUCCCCUACCGUGGUAGGAUUGAAAGCCUGUCUUCUUGGGAACACAAUCACUACCAUGAAUUCUUCCAGAAGAAUACAUUCUCUCCGUGCUCACAGGCCAAAGGCGCCUGCAAAUAUGAGUGAGAACUGGCACAGUUCCUGCAGAUGCAAACAGGACCGCGGAGAUGAACUAUCUACAGUCCAUACACUUUACACUGUGAUCAUCAUGGUCAUCCUAAUGGUGAUAUGGGGGGCCUGGGCAAGAAAAGAUGCCUAUUUAUAGCUGCAAGCUACCUUUUGUGUCAGGAGUUCAGAAUUCAGAGAGAUACUCAUGACAAUAAAAAAUACCCAGGAAGAUACAAAAGCCCAGGGCUUUGUGAAUCACAGCUCAUCUUGCACAUAAAAUGGAACUGCUUCUGUCAGUGGAUUUGGCUAAGUCAAAUUCUGUGGACAAAAUC